AUUCAACUGACGAGUCCCGAAUAGGACGAAACACGAGUCCCGGAU
Non-coding RNA from Schistosoma mattheei, 45 nucleotides. The record is from Rfam. Lineage: Eukaryota; Metazoa; Platyhelminthes; Trematoda; Strigeidida; Schistosomatidae.